GAAUGUGAGGGCAAUCUGGCUACUGUAUGUCAUCCCGUUGAUUCCCAGGGCUGAGCCGGUUGGCCUGGCUGGCUGGGCCGGUGUCCCCUCUUUACCUCACCAUUCCAUGUGUGUCUCCCCUGAAGUUGUGUACUCAGUCAGAGGGCAGCCUUCCUUGAAUAGAGAUGGGACUUUUUUUGGUUGAGGGUUUUAGAGCAGCUGCACACUGUGGCUAGAACCUCCAAACAGGCCCGCAAGGAAACGAAGCAGGGAUGGAGAGACAGCAUGUGCAGGCCCAGGUUCCAUCCCAGCACCAUAUGGUCCCU
Molecule: unclassified non-coding RNA, 305 nt
Organism: Sorex araneus (European shrew)
Lineage: Eukaryota; Metazoa; Chordata; Mammalia; Eulipotyphla; Soricidae
Gene: 7SK
Rfam family: 7SK RNA
About the family: 7SK was discovered as an abundant small nuclear RNA in the mid-70s but a possible function has only recently been suggested. Two independent studies have found that 7SK RNA binds the CDK9/cyclin T complex (known as elongation factor P-TEFb).
Source: Ensembl